This 1060-nucleotide ribosomal RNA is filed under the name Salmonella enterica subsp. enterica. RNAcentral's name for it is "bacterial LSU rRNA". It matches the Rfam family "Bacterial large subunit ribosomal RNA", at positions 1 to 1090 of the family's 2925-position model. The record is from RNAcentral. Lineage: Bacteria; Pseudomonadati; Pseudomonadota; Gammaproteobacteria; Enterobacterales; Enterobacteriaceae.
GGGUUGUGAGGUUAAGCGACUAAGCGUACACGGUGGAUGCCCUGGCAGUCAGAGGCGAUGAAGGGCGUGCUAAUCUGCGAUAAGCGCCGGUAAGGUGAUAUGAACCGUUAUAACCGGCGAUACCCGAAUGGGGAAACCCAGUGUGAUUCGUCACACUAUCAUUAACUGAAUCCAUAGGUUAAUGAGGCGAACCGGGGGAACUGAAACAUCUAAGUACCCCGAGGAAAAGAAAUCAACCGAGAUUCCCCCAGUAGCGGCGAGCGAACGGGGAGGAGCCCAGAGCCUGAAUCAGCAUGUGUGUUAGUGGAAGCGUCUGGAAAGGCGCGCGAUACAGGGUGACAGCCCCGUACACAAAAGCGCAUGUGCUGUGAGCUCGAUGAGUAGGGCGGGACACGUGGUAUCCUGUCUGAAUAUGGGGGGACCAUCCUCCAAGGCUAAAUACUCCUGACUGACCGAUAGUGAACCAGUACCGUGAGGGAAAGGCGAAAAGAACCCCGGCGAGGGGAGUGAAAAAGAACCUGAAACCGUGUACGUACAAGCAGUGGGAGCACAGGUUUACCUGUGUGACUGCGUACCUUUUGUAUAAUGGGUCAGCGACUUAUAUUCUGUAGCAAGGUUAACCGAAUAGGGGAGCCGGAGGGAAACCGAGUCUUAACCGGGCGUUAAGUUGCAGGGUAUAGACCCGAAACCCGGUGAUCUAGCCAUGGGCAGGUUGAAGGUUGGGUAACACUAACUGGAGGACCGAACCGACUAAUGUUGAAAAAUUAGCGGAUGACCUGUGGCUGGGGGUGAAAGGCCAAUCAAACCGGGAGAUAGCUGGUUCUCCCCGAAAGCUAUUUAGGUAGCGCCUCGUGAAUUCAUCUCCGGGGGUAGAGCACUGUUUCGGCUAGGGGGCCAUCCCGGCUUACCAACCCGAUGCAAACUGCGAAUACCGGAGAAUGUUAUCACGGGAGACACACGGCGGGUGCUAACGUCCGUCGUGAAGAGGGAAACAACCCAGACCGCCAGCUAAGGUCCCAAAGUCAUGGUUAAGUGGGAAACGAUGUGGGAAGGCCCAGAC